GACGAACGCUGGCGGCGUGCUUAACACAUGCAAGUCGAACGGAAAGGCCCUGCUUUUGUGGGGUGCUCGAGUGGCGAACGGGUGAGUAACACGUGAGUAACCUGCCCUUGACUUUGGGAUAACUUCAGGAAACUGGGGCUAAUACCGGAUAGGAGCUCCUGCUGCAUGGUGGGGGUUGGAAAGUUUCGGCGGUUGGGGAUGGACUCGCGGCUUAUCAGCUUGUUGGUGGGGUAGUGGCUUACCAAGGCUUUGACGGGUAGCCGGCCUGAGAGGGUGACCGGCCACAUGGGGAGGGAGAAACGGCCCAGACCCCUGGGGGGGGCAGCGGGGGGGAAUAUUGCAAAAGGGGGGGAAGCCGGAUGCAGCAACGCCGGGGGCGGGAUGACGGCCUUGGGGUGGUAAACCGCUUUCGCCUGUGACGAAGCGGGAGUGACGGUAAUGGGAAAAGAAGCACCGGCUAACUACGU
Molecule: ribosomal RNA, 467 nt
Filed under: uncultured bacterium
Lineage: Bacteria
Description: partial 16S ribosomal RNA
Rfam family: Bacterial small subunit ribosomal RNA
Source: RNAcentral